GAUGAAGAACGUAGCGAAAUGCGAUACGUAAUGUGAAUUGCAGAAUUCAGUGAAUCAUCGAAUCUUUGAACGCACAUUGCGCCCUUUGGUAUUCCAAAGGGCAUGCCUGUUCGAGCGUCAUUUGUACCCUCAAGCUUUGCUUGGUGUUGGGCGUCUUGUCUCCAGUUCGCUGGAGACUCGCCUUAAAGUAAUUGGCAGCCGGCCUACUGGUUUCGGAGCGCAGCACAAGUCGCGCUCUCUUCCAGCCAAGGUCAGCAUCCACAAAGCCUUUUUUCAACUUUUGACCUCGGAUCAGGUAGGGAUACCCGCUGAACUUAAGCAUAUCAAUAAGCGGAGGA
This 338-nucleotide unclassified non-coding RNA is filed under the name soil metagenome. RNAcentral describes it as "partial contains 5.8S ribosomal RNA, internal transcribed spacer 2, and large subunit ribosomal RNA". The stretch from base 1 to 120 matches the Rfam family "5.8S ribosomal RNA", at positions 35 to 154 of the family's 154-position model. The record is from RNAcentral.